UCCGAAGGAGUUGUGCACCGAUACACGGAAGUGAAGUAUUCUGAGUGCUGGGAAAUUGUUGGUUGUUUAUUGCAAAACACCUAGUUAAUGCUUGAUGUGAUCAUAUCAGCCAUUCUUUGUCUCCUUGCAUGCAGUAAGUUGUUGUGUAUUAAUAGUUCAUACUACUUGCAUGCACAUUUUAACAUUUUUGACAUCAUUUUCAUUACUUCCACUACUUCUGUUUUUGCUAUGUCUCAGUCUGUCAGCAAAAUAACUCAAAAAGUUCUUUGUGGAUUUGUAUGAAACCUUGUGUGUAGAUUUGUCCUGAGCCAGGGAAGAAAUUAUUAAAUUUUCAUGUUUGUCCGCCUAAAGAUAGAAGAAGGAAUAUAAACUAGGGAUGCACAAUCUGGAUUUUUUUACAGCUGAUAAACAACCGAUAAUGACCUGCUUCGCCGAGAUGAUAUAGACAACUGGUAAAUUCAGAUUUCUAUUUUUAAAAGAAGUACAUAAUACCUGUAGUUUCUGCACAACUGAGUGUCAGAAAGGUUCAGAUUUUGUGAGCAGAAAUAGAUGAUUUAAUAUUUCACAGCCAUGACUGAAAAAGAUGUAACUGUGACAUCACUGUUGCAACAAAAACAAUUCUAACUCUUAAAGUAUUCAUUUAGUUUUUCUAGUAAAGGUCAUUAAAAAACUUCACAAAUGUACAACUUUCAUAGAGCAUUUUUCCUACAUAUUCAAAUUAAAUGCUGUGAAAAUCUGUCAAAUCAGAUAUUAGUAUAGCCAAUAUUUAUCUGUUAGUAUAUGCCGAUGUCAGUAUGAACCGAUAUUUGCUGGAUAAGCCAAUAUCAGCCAAUAAUUCAUCAGAACAGGUAUUUAUUGUGUAUCCCUAAUAUAAACGUCCCGCUCCACUCAAAAAUGUUUUUCCUCUUCUUCCAACAGUUGGAUGUUUGAGCUUCACCGUGAAGAAUGAUGUGUAUAUACAGUUUGUUUUCACAUUCGUCUGCUUAAAGUGAAAUGUUUCUCUGUGCUUAUUGAAAAUCCAAGUUUAAGGGGGGCCUAGGACCAUAAUUUGUGAAGUCACAAGUAGUUUGGAAGCCAGGUCUUUGUGCUUACACAAGUAUGAUCUGGAAACCUGAAGCUGGAAGAUGUCUUGUGUCCAACAGUUAAACCUGUGAGACAAAAUAUAUUGGUGCAUUUAUAGAUUGUGGAAUUUUUAAUAAGGUAGAAGGAACAGACAUAAUUUUAAGGAUUGUAAUAAAAUAUAUUUGUCUCUUUCUGUGGAAAAACAAUAUCAGACACAAACUAUUUUUCUAAGUACCAUAUUUUCCAUGCCACGCCGCUGCGCUCCCCACUGGACGUGGUGAGCACCGGCAAGAGCCUGACGCUCCCCCAGAGCUUGCCCUUCCCCGAUCCCACACCUUUAGUGAGUUUUUGGCCCGAGUGGCAUUUGUGUUGAUUGGUUAAAUAAAUCCAUUCAAACAGUGAUCUGCUUGCCGACUGCCCUGUUAGCUUUCACUUUGGGCUUGAAAUUCCCACAUACCAUGACACCUCUUCACUUCCUCAUCUUCUUCUCCUCCACUCAGAGCCUCAUUAUUGCACCCUUUGAUCGCUGUGAGCUACUUAUUGAAAACUACUGUAAAUGAGGUGAAAUAUGAUGGAAAAGUUUUCUGAAGCAUUUAAGUUGAGUACAAAAAAAGAAGAAAACACUGUCAUCCAUUCCAUUAAAAACACAUUAAGGACAGAUGGUGACACAGAAACACUAGUUUUUCUCUUUUUAUUUUUCAGAGUUUAUCAAUGAGCCAGUCUUCGGAGUGUUGCUGAAGCAUUAUUGGCUGUAAACAUGUGGAACAGUGGAAGCUGACCUCUGUGUGCAAAAUGUAGAGGGAACAUCGAAGCCAGCAACAUAUUUGAAGUUAAUGGUCUGUCAGAGGAUUUCUGUUCUGAGAUCCCUUUUUGAAGAGGAGUAACAUUUUGCACUUUCAUACUCAAAUACUGUAGGCCUGUUGUUUGUUUUAUUGUUUCAGAUAUUUGGGUCAGAGUUCUUGUACUACUAAUGUGAAUUCAUUCACAUGUUUGGGCUGGAUGACGUCAUAUUAGUGUUCACUGUUUUAGUGAGAUUAACAUUUAUCUUUACAUACAUUGCCACCAUUUAAUUGUUCUAGUUACAAAUGUACAUUCUUUAAAGUUGUGGUUAUGAGAGACCAGUGCGUCUGUGUAUGGAGCCAUGUUGUUAUUCACUGCUCUAUAGAAUUAUGAAAUGUCGGAAUAUUUCUCUGCAAACUGAUUAUCAACUCUCAAGUUUGUCCUGUUCAGUUGUCAGUAAGGAUCCCAGCUUUUGGCUGUAAAGGUCCACUAAGUUCAAAUACAGCAAAUGUCUUUUCACACAUUGCGUUGAGUUGUUGUUAUGAGAUAGAGCAAUGCUGCUUUGUAUGGGGCAAAAUCCUCGUUCACUGCUCUCGAGAACAAAUCUGAAAUGUCUGAAUAUUUCUCUGCAAGCUGAUUCUCAACUGUAAGUUUGUUCUGUUCAUUUGAAAAUGGAUCAAUUCCAGAAGUAGAAUGUGUUGUAAACUAUAAUUAGUUUCCAUGUUAGUUGUACUUUGCAUGUAUCAUCUGUCUUAUCAUGCAUGUAUUAUACUGUGUGUUUUAUGGUCCUUGUGUCCCCCCCACCUCUCUACCUCUAUCCCUCUAUCUCUAUUCCUCUAUCUCUAUUCCUCUAUCUCUAUCCCUCUAUCUCUAUUCCUCUAUCUCUAUUCCUCUAUCUCUAUCCCUCUAUCUCUACCUCCAUCCCUCUAUCUCUACCUCUCUACAUCUUCUGCCCCUCUCAACCCACCCGGCCAGCAGGCAGAUGGGUUCCCCCACAUAAAGAGCCGGGUUCUGCUCAAGGUUUUUUUUCCCUGUUAAAAGGGUGUUUUCCUGCCACUGUCUCCUUAGGGCUGCUCUGGGGGUUCAGGCAUAUGGGUUCUGUAAAGCGUCUCGAGACAAUUUGACCGUAAUUGGCGCUAUAUAAAUAAAACUGAAUUGAAUUGAAUUGUUGUCAGUGAGGAUCCCAACUGUUGGCUGUAAAGGUCUGCUGCUUCAACUAAAUGAGGCAACAGCUCCUGUGGGAUUUUUUUGGAACAGCCACUGCCAGCCAAGUCGUUUGGUACACCUUUACCUGCAAAAUAAAGAAAGUAGUGCAGUUCUCAAAACUUAAAAGUGCUUGCUGUAAUUAUUCUAAUCUUUGCAACACUGGUUUAUUUCACCUGGAAUGGGGUGAGAAUUCCAUGACUCCACCAGUCUUGUAAGACCAAUCUGGCACAACUGGACAGUCAGGUUGGACACACAGUAUCUCACAAGGCCAUCGUUCAUGUCUAGUUCCUCCUGAUCCUCCAACUGCAGCAAGGCUGUCUUCAGUGGAUAGUUGACACAGUUGCUGACCUCAGGCCAGAUUCCUUCAACUAUAUGAUUCUGAAUGAUAUCUAAUCUGAAAGAUUAGAUAUCAUUCAAUUUGUUCUGCUGUGUUAAUGAAAAACGUUUUACGGUCCAUUCAGGAAAAAUGGUCAUUAUGCAGAAUUUCCAUAAAUCUGUAAAUUUACUGACUCAGAAGUCAAUAUGCACAUUUACCAGGAAAUCUGCAUGCUGACUACCUAUCUGGGUAUUAUGGACACUGACUGAUGAGCUAGUAAAUUUGCAAUUUUUAAUUUUCCCAAAGUUUGAUUAAAAAAAUAAAUAAAAGAACUAUGCUCGUCACAUAACUAGAAUAUAAAAUUUGAAUAACUACAGUGUGCUUGCUUCUGCAGUUGUUUUAAGUAAAAAAAAAAAAAAAAACAGGUUUAAAAAAACCCUUCUUGGCAAAUGGUAAUAUGUUUAAUAUCAUGUUUACUCUAAAAUUUGGAAAGCAUAGUAAUAAUAAAACGUAUGCAAGAAAACUGUAUGCUGCGGAAGUAGUUACCAUAACAGUAAUGAUAAUAAAGGCAGGCAUACAACACAAACCACACAAACUCUAAAAACGUAUCUUUGUGGAUGAAGUCUGUAAAUAAGGCCUUCUCUCCUGAUGGUGGCGAUGAGAGGACAGCAGCUCCUGCAUGAAGAGCAUCAAGUAAAACUCCUUGCCAUGAUCGACUCGCUCCUGGUCCCAGAUACCAUAGGCAUGUACUGCAGGCCUAUUGGGUGAAAAAGUCAAUUUUAAAAUCAGAUUUUUUAUAACAAUGAUGUUCAGCAGGUAUCAUUUAGUCACAGUUUAUACUGAAUGUGGUAGUCAUGUAUGUGCAAUAUGUACAACUAUUCCAAUGGCUUAAAAGGAACAGUCUGAUUUAUUUAGUAACAAUAUGUUGUUUUUUUGUUAUUUGCAGCCUCUUUUUUCACUCCAACAUCUGAAUGGCAUAACUGAUAGGUGGGGUUGAGGUUUAGUAGGGGUUUAAGAAUAUAGAAGAGUCUCUGCAAGUGACCAGUACAAAACACUAGUGGGACGUAGGGGUAGGCAAUAGGGGGGAAAAAAAUUAAAUAUCACAAUAUCUUUGACUGAAUACCACAAUGUUGAUAUUUUGACUACUGUUGCUUUCCUAAGAUAUUUACACAUAAGAUAUUUUUUAAAAAGACUCACUAGUAAUGUGGAUAUGAUGACCAAGCAGGUAGAGGCAGAGAACAGAACAGCUACCACAGUAUAAUAAACACCUAAAGAUGCAUCCUUUUACUGUAAAGCAACUGUAAAACCAGAAAGAGACUACACUCAUGUCUACACUGAAAAAAUGACAGAAUAUCCAUUUACUGUCCAUAGUAAUACAUAGACUGCUACCUGAAAACAUCUUCAUAGAUGGUAAGGUUGUUUUUAUCGGUAUAGUAGAGUGAGCAACAACCUUUUUGCUGAAGUCAUCAACAGCUAAAACAUGGGUGACUCCAAACAUAGCCAGUUUUUGAUUUUGGUCCAUAUGAAUCUUGUGUUACAUGUACUCAGCGUGAUAUGGUACGCUGCUAGGAUAAUAUAGUACUAUCAGGUCUUUAAGAUAUGAUGGAGAUUGGUUGUUAAGAGCUUUAUAUGUCAGAAGAAGGAUUUUGAAUUCUAUUCUACAUUUCAUAGGAGGCCAAUGAAGAGAAACCAAUAUAGGAGAAAUAUGGUCUCUCUUGCUAACUCCCGUCAGUACUCUGGCUGCAGCAUUUUGGAUCAGCUGUAGAUGUUUCAGAGAGCUAUUGGGACAACCUGAUAAUAAGGAAUUACAGUAGUCAAGCCUUGAAGUAACAAAUGCAUGGACUAGUUUUUCUGCAUCACUCUGAGACAGGAUGUUCCUGAUUUUUACAAUAUUUCUCAGGUGGAAAAAGAAAGUCCUACAGAUUUGUUUUAUGUGUGAGUUAAAGGACAUGUCCUGGUCAAAGAUAACACCGAGGUUCCUCACAGUAGUACUGGAGGCCAAUGUAAUGCCAUCCAGAGUAACUAUAUGCUUUGAAAGCAAUUCUCUAAGAUGUUUGGGGCCAAAUACAAUGACUUCAGUCUUGUCUGAAUUUAGUAGUAAGAAAUUAUAGGUCAUCCAGGUCUUUAUGUCCUUAAGACAAUCUUGCAGUCUAGCUAGCUGAUUAGUUUCAUUUGGCUUCAUAGAUAAAUACAAGUGAGUGUCGUCAGCGUAACAAUGGAAAUUAAUACAGUGCUUCCUAAUAAUAUUGCCUAAGGGAAACAUGUAUAAUGUGAACAGUAUUGGUCCUAAGACAGAGCCCUGAGGAACUCCAUGAUUAACCCUAGUUACAUUUUUAAUGCAAUUUAAUGCAACUCAAUGUCAUGUGCUCUGACAUGAUGCUGGGUUUGGAUUUCUCUGGAUUGCAGAAGCAGUUUUUUUGUGUUGCUGAAAGGAUUACUGGGGUUUAACUAGCAAUGAGCCACUGUGACAAAAUGCAUUAUUCUACCAUGUUUACAGGUCAUUUCUAUUUUUUAUGAUUAUGAAUAUUUUACAUUAACACAUGAUCACAUGUAAGUUAAAGCUAGAAACUGUAUACUACUAAUAUAUUUUUAGGAGAUGGGUUAUUUGUUUUGGCGUCCCAGCUUCUGAAACAACCAAUAUUAACCGUUUCCUUUUUCUUUCUUUCCUUCUUUUCACAACAUUGGCUUAAAAUGAAUGUGAGUCAAUGAAAUGUCCUCUGACCUGAUGGCACCACAACUGUGAUGAAAAUUAGCUUUUCAUAGAAGGUCUAAAAUGCUGUUUUUGCUGCCAUGGGUUCAAUUAGAUGCUUGCUGGUCGUUAUCUCUGUAUCCCAGGCAGGCUGUUUGCUCAGAGGGCUGAUGGAGGUCAUUGCCCAUGAAGGGGUACCCAUGAAUAUUUUAAUAUUUCUGUCCCGUCUCGCAUUGCUUUUUGUCAAGCGCCCAUCUGACUGGUGGCCACUCAAUGAAAGAAGAGAGAGAAGGAGGAAGAAGAAUGUGAAGCUAGAGGGAUGGAAGCUUCCAGAAUCUUGUUUCUUCUCCUUUGUAGCACCAUUGUAAGUUCCAUAGAAGGAAUGGAGGAGUGAAAGUGUUGACAUUUAAAGGCAACAAAGGAUUGGGAGAGAGGAAAUAACUUCUGGAAUCCAGUCGGAGAAAAUCACCACCAUCUGACAGGAGGGAAAUUGUUCCUGAACCUCGGUGACAACCCUUAAGUGUAGAUCUGUGAGAGAUGUUUUGCUUUCACCAGGAGAAAAAGAAAUAAGUGCAGAGGAGUGACAUUUUACAUCCAUCUAACAGGUAAUCACAGGCUCCCAGACUGGUGAUGUCACGUGAGCGGCUGCCUGUGAUUGGUUCAUUUGGGACUAAAGCAGUCAAACCACCUCUCUUCUCCCCGGCUCUCCAGCGCCCCCACCAGACCAAUCGCCGAAAACUUAAGUGCCACCACCAGACGUCACCCUCGUCCUCCUCUCACCCUCAUCCAGGUCCUUCCUCCAUCCUCCUCUCCGACAGCACCAUGACGCCAUGGGGAGGCCUGGAUCACUCCGAAUCGUCCUUCACCUCCAUUCCUCCAGCGCCUCCUCCACCUCCUCUGUCCACACCAUCCACGCCUUAUCGGGGGAGACAGGAGGAGGAUGAGGAAAGUUCUGGUUCAAGUUUUAACUCUGAAAUUCCGUCUCCACCUCUGGUGAUCCCUCAGAACAGUGCAGCCGGUUUGGGUGGAGAUUUGCGUUUGAGGAGGAGAGUUUUACCUCCUCGUCAGGUUCCUCGUCCUCCUCGCCUCCCACCGCUGCGUCCCAUCUCCAACCUCAGUUUCUCCCGGAGCUUCACGUUCUCCUUCUUCGAGCUGCCGCUGCAUCAGAGUCCUCGCUGCCGGGCCGAACGCAUCAAAAACCUCCUGCUGCUUCUGAAACAAAUACACUUCUGAAGACUCUGCUGCAUAGUCUGCUUUUCUGGUAUUAGUGCUGCAUGCAACAGCGCAUGCAGAAAGUCCUGGAAAACGUGGUGCAGUGAGUGUAAAUUAUAAAUUCUAGAAAUGAGCCGGAUUGCCUGAGCUUUCAGUUAGACCUGCGUAUCAUUUCUGAACUUCUGUGAUUUGAAUUUUUGAACAUUAUGAACAAAUUGCUUAAAAAAAGGUGAAGUUUGAACAUAGAACUGUUUUCAUGCACAUUUUCUAGAGAGAAAACCAAAAUUAUUAUUCUGUACAGAGAUAACAUGACAGCUCCUGACCCCUCAACUGGAUAACAACUUGAAUUAUACAGAAAGAGUCACAGUAUAUUUUAUUUCUCUGCAAUUAUAUAUUACAUUAUGAAUAAAGGCAGGAAUUUUCAUCAGAUGACUUCAAUUACUCCAUUUGGGCAAAAACAUAAAUUGAUUAAUGAGGGCGACUGCGUGCAUAGAAAAUUUUUUUAAAAAAAAUCAUUUUAAAAGAGCAGAAAAAAGACAUUUUGCACCUUUGUCAUACGAUGAAACACCGCAAAAUGUAAAAAAAUAAAUAAAUAAAUAAAAAAACCACAAAGUUCCAAUGCCCCAGAUAGGAGCAACAAGAUGCUUCUGGUUGAGGAUCUGGUCAACAUCAUGCUUUCUGUAGUUGUAAUAUCUCCACGUUUGGGUGAUUGUUACACAUUUUUCCUGGAUUUUCUGUUGAUUAAGUUGCUGUAUUAGAACUUUUUAUUACUAUUUAUUGGUUUGAUUCUUUAACUAAUUGCUGCCAUCAUAAAUCAUUCUGAUUUCUUCCUGGGAUGAAGAACAGAAAACUUUAUAAUCAUUUAACUUACUCCAAAAACAACUUCUGUAGCAGUUUUCUUGGAUUCUUUUUGUGUUCUGCACAGUUUUGUGGAGGUUUCUUGUUAUUCUCUUUGGUUUUCUUUCUCUUUAUUCUUAAUUUCCUCCAUAACAGGUUUCCACUCAAUUUGAUAUUUUCCCAGUUGGAGUGGCUGUUAAAAAUGAUUGAUUUUUCAAAGUGGAACCCAUUAAAAUAGAUUAAAACACA
Molecule: RNA transcript, 8351 nt
Organism: Amphiprion ocellaris (clown anemonefish)
Lineage: Eukaryota; Metazoa; Chordata; Actinopteri; Pomacentridae
Exons: 5
Source: RefSeq, a predicted model, not a curated record